GGAAAUACCACAUUAAAAUUUGCACAGAUAGAUUCAUGCUGUAGCCAAUUAUUGUCUGAAACUGAAAGUGAAAAUAUAAUGCCAUGCAGUACAAUAGUAAAUACUACGCAAGAAAAUUUCAAAAAUGUACAAAAAUUUGUCAUAGCACAUGAGUUCUUAUUUUCUUCAUCAGACAGUUCUGAUGAAGAAUUAAUUAAUAGUAUCGAUGAUAGCAUUGAACCUGAUGUUCGCUUUGGUAUAGGCCAGUAUACUGUUAAAAAGAGGAAAAUAGAUACUUUGAACAGUGACGAAGAAAUCGAGUAAAAAGUUCCGAAAUCUUCAAAUGUUGUUGCAGUAUUACGAGAUAUUAAUAACGAGAAAGAAAAACAGAAAGAGCGUCGACACAAAGAAAAGAUAGAAGUUCUUCGAGAAUUAUUUUCCGCAAAUAAUAAAUACUUUUUCUUUAAUAAAAGACAUAUCAUAAACACGAGCAUCAUGACAUUUGCUAGACACUCCAGUAAAGCAGUCUAUAAAUCUUUUUUUUGCGUCGCAUAUGCCUUGUAAUGUAAGUGCAGUUUCAUCGUGUCUAUUUACAUAAGUAUGACGAAUUUUUUUGACAGGUGUUCUAAUAGAAAUAUACGUGCCAUCUAUGCAUCCUACAAUUCCAUCAAUUUCACAUAUAUUUCGAAAUUCUUGAGCCUUUUCUUGAUGUUCUUGUUCUGUUGCAGGAAAUCGGAUUAUUGAUGGAGCCAAAUCUACUAAAAAAUUUGUAACUCUUUUGAUAAUAUGAUGCACUGUGGCAAUUUGCAUGUCAAAACGAUCUGCUACACUCCUUAAUACCGUUUUAUAUAUAUAUAUUUGCA
Molecule: long non-coding RNA, 842 nt
Organism: Trachymyrmex cornetzi
Lineage: Eukaryota; Metazoa; Arthropoda; Insecta; Hymenoptera; Formicidae
Exons: 4
Source: RefSeq, a predicted model, not a curated record